Molecule: ribosomal RNA, 1316 nt
Filed under: Streptomyces parvus
Lineage: Bacteria; Bacillati; Actinomycetota; Actinomycetes; Kitasatosporales; Streptomycetaceae
Description: bacterial SSU rRNA
Rfam family: Bacterial small subunit ribosomal RNA
Source: RNAcentral
GCUUAACACAUGCAAGUCGAACGAUGAAACCGCUUCGGUGGUGGAUUAGUGGCGAACGGGUGAGUAACACGUGGGCAAUCUGCCCUUCACUCUGGGACAAGCCCUGGAAACGGGGUCUAAUACCGGAUACCACUUCGUCCCGCAUGGGACGGGGUUGAAAGCUCCGGCGGUGAAGGAUGAGCCCGCGGCCUAUCAGCUUGUUGGUGGGGUAAUGGCCUACCAAGGCGACGACGGGUAGCCGGCCUGAGAGGGCGACCGGCCACACUGGGACUGAGACACGGCCCAGACUCCUACGGGAGGCAGCAGUGGGGAAUAUUGCACAAUGGGCGAAAGCCUGAUGCAGCGACGCCGCGUGAGGGAUGACGGCCUUCGGGUUGUAAACCUCUUUCAGCAGGGAAGAAGCGCAAGUGACGGUACCUGCAGAAGAAGCGCCGGCUAACUACGUGCCAGCAGCCGCGGUAAUACGUAGGGCGCAAGCGUUGUCCGGAAUUAUUGGGCGUAAAGAGCUCGUAGGCGGCUUGUCACGUCGGAUGUGAAAGCCCGGGGCUUAACCCCGGGUCUGCAUUCGAUACGGGCUAGCUAGAGUGUGGUAGGGGAGAUCGGAAUUCCUGGUGUAGCGGUGAAAUGCGCAGAUAUCAGGAGGAACACCGGUGGCGAAGGCGGAUCUCUGGGCCAUUACUGACGCUGAGGAGCGAAAGCGUGGGGAGCGAACAGGAUUAGAUACCCUGGUAGUCCACGCCGUAAACGUUGGGAACUAGGUGUUGGCGACAUUCCACGUCGUCGGUGCCGCAGCUAACGCAUUAAGUUCCCCGCCUGGGGAGUACGGCCGCAAGGCUAAAACUCAAAGGAAUUGACGGGGGCCCGCACAAGCAGCGGAGCAUGUGUCUUAAUUUCGACGCAACGCGAAAGAACCUUACCAAGGCUUGACAUUAUACCGGAAAAGCAUCAGAGAUGGUGCCCCCCUUUGUGGUCGGGUAUAACAGGGUGGUGCAUGGACUGUCGUCAGCUCGUGUCGUGAGAUGUUGGGUUAAGUCCCGCAACGAGCGCAACCCUUGUUCUGUGUUGCCAGCAUGCCCUUCGGGGUGAUGGGGACUCACAGGAGACUGCCGGGGUCAACUCGGAGGAAGGUGGGGACGACGUCAAGUCAUCAUGCCCCUUAUGUCUUGGGCUGCACACGUGCUACAAUGGCCGGUACAAUGAGCUGCGAUGCCGCGAGGCGGAGCGAAUCUCAAAAAGCCGGUCUCAGUUCGGAUUGGGGUCUGCAACUCGACCCCAUGAAGUCGGAGUUGCUAGUAAUCGCAGAUCAGCAUUGCUGC